CACGUAUUUAGCCGGGGCUUCUUGGUCAGGUACCGUCAAUGUCUUCCCUGCUGACAGAGCUUUACAUACCGAAGUACUCCAUCGCUCACGCGGCGUCGCUGCAUCAGGGUUCGCCCCCAUUGUGCAAUAUCCCCCACUGCUGCCUCCCGUAGGAGUCUGGGCCGUGUCUCAGUCCCAAUGUGGCCGCCCACCCUCUCAGGCCGGCUACUGAUCGUCGCCUUGGUCGGGCCGUUACCCCGCCAACAAGCUAAUCAGACGCGGACCCAUCCCGCACCGCCUGGGCUUUCCGCACAGCCCCAUGCGGGGCCGUGCGCAUAUGCGGUAUUAGCAGCCGUUUCCGGCUGGUUCGUCCCCCAGUGGCGGGGUAGGUUCGUCCACGCGUUACUCCACCCGUCCGCCACUCAGUCCACGAGGGGUCUUCCUUCCGAAGAAACUUCCCGCCCACGCGCUUCGUUCGACUUGCAUGUGUUAGGCACGCCGCCAGCGUUCAUCC
This 493-nucleotide ribosomal RNA is filed under the name uncultured Eubacteriales bacterium. RNAcentral's name for it is "uncultured Clostridiales bacterium partial 16S ribosomal RNA". The record is from RNAcentral. Lineage: Bacteria; Bacillati; Bacillota; Clostridia; Eubacteriales.